Molecule: ribosomal RNA, 403 nt
Filed under: uncultured bacterium
Lineage: Bacteria
Description: bacterial SSU rRNA
Rfam family: Bacterial small subunit ribosomal RNA
Source: RNAcentral
UUUUGGACAAUGGGCGCAAGCCUGAUCCAGCAAUGCCGCGUGCAGGAUGAAGGCCUUCGGGUUGUAAACUGCUUUUGUCCCGACCCCCCCCGGCGAACUCUAAUACAGUUUGCUAAUGACGGUACCGUAAGAAUAAGCACCGGCUAACUACGUGCCAGCAGCCGCGGUAAUACGUAGGGUGCAAGCGUUAAUCGGAAUUACUGGGCGUAAAGCGUGCGCAGGCAGUUAUGUAAGACAGAUGUGAAAUCCCCGGGCUUAACCUGGGAACUGCAUUUGUGACUGCAUAGCUAGAGUACGGUAGAGGGGGAUGGAAUUCCGCGUGUAGCAGUGAAAUGCGUAGAUAUGCGGAGGAACACCGAGGCGAAGGCAAUCCCCGGACCUGUACUGACGCUCAUGCACGAAA